RNAcentral lists this ribosomal RNA (461 nucleotides) under uncultured beta proteobacterium. RNAcentral's name for it is "bacterial SSU rRNA". It matches the Rfam family "Bacterial small subunit ribosomal RNA", at positions 200 to 642 of the family's 1533-position model. The record is from RNAcentral. Lineage: Bacteria; Pseudomonadati; Pseudomonadota; Betaproteobacteria.
AGAAAAGCAGGGGAUCGUAAGACCUUGCGUUAAUGGAGCGGCCGAUAUCUGAUUAGCUAGUUGGUGGGGUAAAGGCCCACCAAGGCUUUGAUCAGUAGCUGGUCUGAGAGGACGACCAGCCACACUGGAACUGAGACACGGUCCAGACUCCUACGGGAGGCAGCAGUGGGGAAUUUUGGACAAUGGGCGCAAGCCUGAUCCAGCCAUUCCGCGUGAGUGAAGAAGGCCUUCGGGUUGUAAAGCUCUUUCGCAAGGGAAGAAAACUUAUCUAAUAACACUAGGUGAGGCUGACGGUACCUUGAUAAGAAGCACCGGCUAACUACGUGCCAGCAGCCGUGGUAAUACGUAGGGUGCGAGCGUUAAUCGGAAUUACUGGGCGUAAAGCGUGCGCAGGCGGUUCUGUAAGUCAGAUGUGAAAUCCCCGGGCUCAACCUGGGAACUGCGUUUGAAACUACAAGGCU